ACGCUGGCGGCAGGCCUAACACAUGCAAGUCGAGCGGUAGCACAGGAGAGCUUGCUCUCUGGGUGACGAGCGGCGGACGGGUGAGUAAUGUCUGGGGAUCUGCCUGAUGGAGGGGGAUAACUACUGGAAACGGUAGCUAGUACCGCAUGACCUCGCAAGAGCAAAGUGGGGGACCUUAGGGCCUCACGCCAUCGGAUGAACCCAGAUGGGAUUAGCUAGUAGGUGGGGUAAUGGCUCACCUAGGCGACGAUCCCUAGCUGGUCUGAGAGGAUGACCAGCCACACUGGAACUGAGACACGGUCCAGACUCCUACGGGAGGCAGCAGUGGGGAAUAUUGCACAAUGGGCGCAGCCUGAUGCAGCCAUGCCGCGUGUAUGAAGAAGGCCUUCGGGUUGUAAGUACUUUCAGCGAGGAGGAAGGAUUUCGUGUUAACAGCACGGAAUAUUGACGUUACUCGCAGAAGAAGCACCGGCUAACUCCGUGCCAGCAGCCGCGGUAAUACGGAGGUGCAGCGUUAAUCGGAAUUACUGGGCGUAAAGCGCACGCAGGCGGUUGAUUAGUUGGAUGUGAAAUCCCC
This 577-nucleotide ribosomal RNA is filed under the name uncultured bacterium. RNAcentral's name for it is "bacterial SSU rRNA". It matches the Rfam family "Bacterial small subunit ribosomal RNA", at positions 33 to 604 of the family's 1533-position model. The record is from RNAcentral.